CAGUCGCCGCGGGAAUACGUAGGGUGCGAGCGUUAAUCGGAUUUACUGGGCGUAAAGCGUGCGCAGGCGGCCCGUUAAGGCAGGUGUGAAAUCCCUGGGCUCAACCUAGGAAUUGCGCUUGUGACUGGCGGGCUCGAGUACAGUAGAGGGGGGUGGAAUUCCUGGUGUAGUAGUGAAAUGCGUAGAGAUCAGGAGGAACACCGAUGGCGAAGGCAGCCCCCUGGGCCUGUACUGACGCUCAUGCACGAAAGCGUGGGGAGCAAACAGGAUUAGAUACCCCAGUAGUCCCUGUCUCUUAUAC
RNAcentral lists this ribosomal RNA (301 nucleotides) under uncultured bacterium. RNAcentral's name for it is "partial 16S ribosomal RNA". It matches the Rfam family "Bacterial small subunit ribosomal RNA", at positions 509 to 807 of the family's 1533-position model. The record is from RNAcentral.